CAGAAGAUAGUUUAAUAUAAAAUAUUAAUUUUGGAGAUUAACGACAUUAAAAAAUUUAAUUCUUCUGA
This 68-nucleotide transfer RNA is filed under the name Lepidopsocidae sp. RS-2001. RNAcentral's name for it is "tRNA-Pro". The record is from RNAcentral. Lineage: Eukaryota; Metazoa; Arthropoda; Insecta; Psocodea; Lepidopsocidae.